UUUCUUUCUUUCUUUCUUUCUUUUUAAGAAAAAACAGCAACAUUUCUAAAACCCAUACUCAAUGCAGUGGUUUUUGUUUUACUUUUUAUUAUUUAAAUACACCAUACUAGAGCAAAUGUCUCUGAAAAUAUCACAAAUAAAAGAUUUUUCUUCAUUCAGCAAAUUAGAAGUAGGUGAAAAUUUCUACACAGUAGCUGCUAUGAGCCUGACUUUUUUUUUUUCCUUUUUCUCCUUUUUUUUUUUUUUUGCCAUGGGAAGUAGCAACAUUAGGACAAAAACACUUACAUGCAUACAUACAUUGUAUUUUACAGAGAUACAAUAAAAGUAUUUGUGAUAGAAUAUCACAAAAGCCACAUCUUUCCUUUAUCUCAUGUUCAGUUUGAUUGAAACACAUUUCCUUACAACACUUAAAUAUACAAAGAGCAAAUAGAAUGUUGUUAAGGUAAAACACAGGGUACAAACUGGCCAGUGCCCUGCUAAUUGUUAAUGAGGGUAGAAAGCAGAUUUCAAUGCUUCUUUUAAUUAGCUUCAUUAGUCAUCUUCCCCACCCGCCCCCCCCAAAGAUGUCCUCCGGUGGAUCUUUUUUCAUUUUCUCUACAGUCUCCCAUUAGCCCAGGUUCAUGGAGUCCUUAAUGUUCAUAUUCAGUCAUUUUAAUACACCAAUAAAUGUGGGAAGGGCAAUCAAGAAUAAAGAAGGUGCAAUGGUAUGGAGCUGGCACUGAUGCUAGCUACAAAGGUGACUUGUCUACUUGGAGACAUGGGAUCCAUCUGUGAUGAACAAAAUUUGAGAUGAAGGCACGCAUUCUGCAAUACUCUGACCUUUUAGCAGACCUUCUGGUCUGGCAGUAGUGGGUUACUCUGAAGUGAAUUCAAAUGGCCAUUGAUGAGAGCUGUAGGUCUAUCAUGUUCACAAAAUAAACUGCCAUUGAUGUAGUGAAACCGAUCUCCCGGGACCAGGCGAUUCCGGCAGGUAGAGCAUGUAAAACACUUCAGAUGAUAGACAUUGCCCUGUGCCCUCAUGACCAGCUCACUAGCAGGAAUGGACUGUCCGCAGGCACUGCAAGCACCACUAUUUCCAAAUAACCUGAUAUAGUCGUUUCUGCAGAGGAUCAUGCCGCUCUUGGUGUAGCAGGACGUGCCGAUGUCCCCCAGCUGGGCCUGGCAGCAGGAGCACUUGAGGCAGCGGCUGUGCCAGUAGCUGUCCAUGGCGUAGAGCAGGAAGCGGUCGGCGAUCUUCCCCCCGCAGCCGGCGCACCUCUUCCACGAGAGGGAGCCCGCCGUCACCGGGGGCGGCUGCGCGCUGCCGCCGGGGUUCACCAUGGCCUGCUGCUUCCCCUCGGUGGUCUGCGGGGCCGGGCAGCGCCGCUCGGGGGCACCGCGGAGGUUUCCUCGCCGCGAACCGAGCGCGGCGCCCGCCGCCCGCCCGCCCUUCGGCAGCCCCCGGUCCGGGCCGGACAAACGCGGAGACGGCGCUGAUGGGCGCCCGCCGCCCUCCGGCCCCGCGGAGCCGCACGCGCAGGGGCCGCCGCCGCCGCCGCAAGUUUGGCGCCGCGGCCGCACUUCGCGCCGCUCCCCCCGCCCCCACCUCCGCCCCUCCGCCGGGCUCCGGCGGCGGCCGAGCUCCCGCGGCGCGGAGCCGAGCGGCCGCGGCCCGCCGAGCGCUGCGAGCGGAGGACCGGAGAGCGGGGCGGAGGCGGCGGCGCCGCGGCGCGGAGAGCGGAGCGGGCCCGGGGGCGCGUGUGUCCCUGCGCGGCGCGAGCGGGCCCGCGUGCUGCGCGGCCGCUGCCCCUCAC
Molecule: long non-coding RNA, 1793 nt
Filed under: Gallus gallus (chicken)
Lineage: Eukaryota; Metazoa; Chordata; Aves; Galliformes; Phasianidae
Source: RNAcentral